This 605-nucleotide ribosomal RNA is filed under the name Dujonia zeylanoides. RNAcentral's name for it is "eukaryotic LSU rRNA". It matches the Rfam family "Eukaryotic large subunit ribosomal RNA", at positions 37 to 658 of the family's 3401-position model. The record is from RNAcentral. Lineage: Eukaryota; Fungi; Ascomycota; Pichiomycetes; Serinales; Debaryomycetaceae.
UGCAUAUCAAUAAGCGGAGGAAAAGAAACCAACAGGGAUUGCCUCAGUAACGGCGAGUGAAGCGGCAAAAGCUCAAAUUUGAAAUCUAGCACUUUCAGUGUUCGAGUUGUAAUUUGAAGAAGGUAACUUUGGUUUUGGCUCUUGUCUAUGUUCCUUGGAACAGGACGUCACAGAGGGUGAGAAUCCCGUGCGAUGAGAUGCCCAAUUCCAUGUAAAGUGCUUUCGAAGAGUCGAGUUGUUUGGGAAUGCAGCUCUAAGUGGGUGGUAAAUUCCAUCUAAAGCUAAAUAUUGGCGAGAGACCGAUAGCGAACAAGUACAGUGAUGGAAAGAUGAAAAGAACUUUGAAAAGAGAGUGAAAAAGUACGUGAAAUUGUUGAAAGGGAAGGGCUUGAGAUCAGACUUGGUAUUUUGCGUUCCCUUCCUUUUUGGUUGGGUUCCUCGCAGUUUACUGGGCCAGCAUCGGUUUGGAUGGUAGGAUAAUGACAUUGGAAUGUAGCUUUACUUCGGUGAAGUGUUAUAGACUUUGUUGAUACUGCCUAUCUAGACCGAGGACUGCGUCUUUGACUAGGAUGCUGGCGUAAUGAUCUUAAGCCGCCCGUCUUGAA